This 1063-nucleotide unclassified non-coding RNA is filed under the name Schistocerca americana (American grasshopper). Its description in RNAcentral is "glutamine amidotransferase-like class 1 domain- containing protein 1, transcript variant X4". The record is from RNAcentral. Lineage: Eukaryota; Metazoa; Arthropoda; Insecta; Orthoptera; Acrididae.
AAUAUCUUCCCCGUAGGCCGUAAGUGGUUUGGAGCUAAACAAAAUUUAAAACCGUAUAAAUAUUGAAAAUGACAAGUACAAGUGCAGGGAGUGGGCGUAUAAGUUGUUUAAUUGUUUUACCAAGUUGUGCAGGAGGUGUUUCUUCACAGUCGUUCAUACAGUGUUUCACACUGACACAUUCUGCAUUCACAGUCCAGUUGGCUACACCUGGUGGCAGAACACCAGAAUUCAUAAAUCAAGAUGAACAGAGUCGAAGAUGGUUGAAUGAUUUCCGUUCAAAACCAUUUUCAGUACCACUUUCACUGGAAAUAAUUGAUGCUAACAGAUACAUGUGCCUGUUGAUACCACAUGCUCCAGGAGCAGUCACAGACCUCGCCACUAAUGCAGAUCUGGGACAGAUUCUUAUGCACUUCAUAAAAGAGAAAAAGCUCAUAUGUGCCAUUGGGACAGGAGUAGCAGGCCUUUUGUCAGCAAAGAAUGAAGAAAAUUCUAGCUGGGGUUUCAAGUCAUACUCAAUCACAGGGUCUUCAAUAUGUGAACUAGCGCGCCGGUCAGAUUUUGCUGACAUGCCACUUCUUGUAGAGGAUGCCGUCAGAGAUGCUGGAGCAACAUUCUCUCUAUCAGAACCAAAUUGUGUGCAUGUGGUUGUGGAUAGGCACCUUGUAACUGGACAGAAUGAAGCUUCCACACUGACAGCUGUCCAGAAUCUUGUACUGCUCUCCAAUCAGAGCCGCCAAGGUAAAGGAUCCAGCAAGUAGAACUUUAUUUAUCCAGUAUGAGGAGACUAUAUUCAGAACCAAGAAACAACAGUGCAGCUUCAAGUUUUUGCUGCUGGAAUUGUAAUUUGUCCAUUACAUUAAACAGGAGGUGUGGAAUACAAGAAAAUGGCCAGGUGUGAUGACAAAUGAAUGGCAUUAACUGCUUUGGGCGGGGCUUUUUAUGUUGCGACAUCAUGGCUUGGCGAUGGCGUGGCUGUCGCAGAGCAACCACACUCUUCAAGAAUAAAAUCAAAAGACAAGAUGGUUUUGUGGCAAAUGAAAUAUUGUAGUCUUGAAUGUCAUGU